Long non-coding RNA from Erigeron canadensis, 223 nucleotides. RefSeq lists it as uncharacterized. The record is from RefSeq and is a predicted model, not a curated record. The transcript is spliced from 3 exons. Lineage: Eukaryota; Viridiplantae; Streptophyta; Magnoliopsida; Asterales; Asteraceae.
GUUCUUCAAGGUCUUGCUCGAGGGACGACACCACUAGACGUACUUCACGCAUCUGAUCAGCCCCUUUUCAUACUCCAAUCAAGUUUAGAGCAGUAAGUUAGCUUCAUGGACCGCCUCUUGGAUGUUGUGUGUUUGUUAUAUGGUUGGACAAGUAACGCAAACAUUUGAUCUUUUGAUUAUGAAUUUGGUUAUGUAAUGGAUUUAGACGUCAUCUUGAACUUGU